UACAGACCUUGUUAUUACUCCCGGCUCCCCCAGGGCUGGGCAGCCUGAACCAGGUGCUGGGAUCCUGCAGUUAUUACAAGGGCAGCUGUGGCUCCAGCCCCAGAACUUCUCCUGUUCAAGAGCACUCAUGAGGGUGCAGGAAGAGAGUGAACAGUGACUGUUGGUCAGGCCAAGCGGAGGUGUGGGCAGCAGAUGCCCUGUGCAUGCUGACUCACACAAGCAGCUUCCGGGCCCCAGGAUCUGCCAGGGUCUCUGCUGGCUUUCCUCAGGAUGGCAGGGCAGCAGGACAUGGUAGAGGCGGCAGUGUCCCCAGGCAGAGAAUGGGCAUUGCUCCUGGUGUCUCCUUAAAGGCCUCACUUCUGAGCCUCCAUAAAAGAAAAAAUGCCCGUGCUGGGCAGCCGUGUCCCAGGGAUGCCUGGUCAGGGUCCUCCUCUCGCCACACCCUCCCUGGGUCCCCUCAGCACCCAGUACAGGAUGUGCCGGACACUGAGAAGCAGCUAUGAUGGAGGGGCGGCAGGCUUGGUCACAGCCGGGCGUGGAGAGUCAGGCAUCUUUAAAAAACAGGGUCUAGGAAGACUCUAAUGGCAAG
Molecule: long non-coding RNA, 589 nt
Filed under: Homo sapiens (human)
Lineage: Eukaryota; Metazoa; Chordata; Mammalia; Primates; Hominidae
Description: HSALNT0049703
Source: RNAcentral